CGGAUAAUGACAGACGACGAAGACGAAUAAACGGGUAUUGGAAAAUUGGAAAAAAACGACCACCACCAACUUCUAAAAACAUCGAUUCGUCGAUUUAAAGGUUAUGUUGAUGGUUACAAAAGUCAGGGAUGAACAGACACCUCAGCCAGUGCAUCCAGUUAUUCCUGUCAAUGACUGACAAUUUAAUCCAGAGGCCAUGAUACUUGGAUUUAUGGCUGAACAUGCUCCCUGGCACCACAGUAGUGUGUCUUACUUAAGACACUUGCCAAAGAUACAAAAGCUCUCAGCGAAUUAAAACUUCAAAGGUGUACAGCAUCAUACAAGAUGACUUACGGAGUGGCUAGCCAUUCAAUGAUGAACAUGUGGAGGAGUUAAUGGAUCUCGGUUUUGUUUCAACUAAGACAAGUCAACAAACACAAUGAGAAAUCUGUUGCAGCUAUUUUUCUGCUAUAGAGAAAAAAAUAGUGUUGAGACAUUUGGCCUCCUUAAAAAUCACUAGGGCUGAUUCUGAAUCAAUUUUCAUAGAAUUUGAAAGCACCAUGAGGGGAAAUAAUCUGGCUUAGGGACCAGAAUACGUCAAAGUCCACCAUGUCCACAACGGCUACGCUGCCAAAGCAUUUAAGUCCCGUUUGGAUAUUACUUGGAAUAAUAUAUAUAAUAAUUAAUAACACUAUAUUCUCAUCAAAUGUGCAGAAAAUGGAAUAAAUACUCUUUUUAUGAUACAUGAAAAUUGAAUAAUUAACACUUUUACAAUAAACAUUUGCAAGCAUCAUAA
Mya arenaria is the source of this 775-nucleotide long non-coding RNA. RefSeq lists it as uncharacterized. The transcript is spliced from 2 exons. Lineage: Eukaryota; Metazoa; Mollusca; Bivalvia; Myida; Myidae. The record is from RefSeq and is a predicted model, not a curated record.